UACAGAGGGGGCGAGCGUUGUUCGGAAUUACUGGGCGUAAAGGGCGCGUAGGCGGCACUGUUAGUCAGGCGUGAAAGUCCUGGGCUUAACCUGGGAACUGCGCUUGAUACUGCAGAGCUAGAGGAUGGAAGAGGGUCGCGGAAUUCCCAGUGUAGAGGUGAAAUUCGUAGAUAUUGGGAAGAACACCGGUGGCGAAGGCGGCGACCUGGUCCAUUACUGACGCUGAGGCGCGACAGCGUGGGGAGCAAACAGG
This 253-nucleotide ribosomal RNA is filed under the name uncultured bacterium. RNAcentral's name for it is "partial 16S ribosomal RNA". It matches the Rfam family "Bacterial small subunit ribosomal RNA", at positions 524 to 776 of the family's 1533-position model. The record is from RNAcentral.